GACGAACGCUGGCGGCGUGCUUAACACAUGCAAGUCGAACGAUUAAGCCUUAGCUUGCUUUGGUGGAUUAGUGGCGAACGGGUGAGUAACACGUGAGCAACGUGCCCAGGACUCUGGAAUAACCGCGGGAAACCGUGGCUAAUACCGGAUAGGUGCCGAGGCCGCAUGGUCUUCGGUUGGAAAGUUUUUGCGGUUCUGGAUCGGCUCACGGCCUAUCAGCUUGUUGGUGGGGUAAUGGCCUACCAAGGCGACGACGGGUAGCCGGCCUGAGAGGGUGACCGGCCACACUGGGACUGAGACACGGCCCAGACUCCUACGGGAGGCAGCAGUGGGGAAUAUUGCACAAUGGGCGCAAGCCUGAUGCAGCAACGCCGCGUGGGGGAUGACGGCCUUCGGGUUGUAAACCUCUUUUAGUAGGGAAGAAGCGCAAGUGACGGUACCUGCAGAAAAAGCACCGGCUAACUACGUG
RNAcentral lists this ribosomal RNA (469 nucleotides) under uncultured bacterium. RNAcentral's name for it is "partial 16S ribosomal RNA". It matches the Rfam family "Bacterial small subunit ribosomal RNA", at positions 28 to 507 of the family's 1533-position model. The record is from RNAcentral.